CCUACGGGAGGCAGCAGUGGGGAAUAUUGCACAAUGGGGGAAACCCUGAUGCAGCGACGCCGCGUGAGUGAAGAAGUAUUUCGGUAUGUAAAGCUCUAUCAGCAGGGAAGAAAAUGACGGUACCUGACUAAGAAGCCCCGGCUAACUACGUGCCAGCAGCCGCGGGAAUACGUAGGGGGCAAGCGUUAUCCGGAUUUACUGGGUGUAAAGGGGGCGUAGACGGAAUUGCAAGUCAGAUGUGAAAAUCCCGGGCACAAACCAGGCACUGCCUUGGAAACUGGAGUUCUAGAGUGUCGGAGAGGCAAGCGGAAUUCCCGGUGUAGCGGUGAAAUGCGUAGAUAUCAGGAGGAACACCAGUGGCGAAGGCGGCUUGCUGGACGAUGACUGACGUUGAGGCUCGAAAGCGUGGGGAGCAAACAGGAUUAGAUACCCCUGUAGUC
RNAcentral lists this ribosomal RNA (440 nucleotides) under uncultured bacterium. RNAcentral's name for it is "partial 16S ribosomal RNA". It matches the Rfam family "Bacterial small subunit ribosomal RNA", at positions 338 to 795 of the family's 1533-position model. The record is from RNAcentral.